Long non-coding RNA from Clupea harengus (Atlantic herring), 1155 nucleotides. The record is from Ensembl. NCBI's taxonomy places the organism in Eukaryota, Metazoa, Chordata, Actinopteri, Clupeiformes, Clupeidae.
GUUGUAGGUGUAGCGGCCAAAGAAGACCUGUCUUAGUCGACCAUUGACUAUGUACAGACUGGGGGACCGACAGAGCUGCAGUAGUUAUUUCCCCCAUUUAUAUUUGUUAUUUUAUCAUAGUUAUUCCUUAAAGUAGGGGGAUUCAACUGGGGGAUGUAGAUUAUCCAUAGGAAUAUGUUUUGGGUAUUUGAGGAUUUUUUUUUUUUACUUAAGCCAUACAUAAUUUUUACCUUCUCUAACAAGUUCAAUAGAAUUUGUAUAUUUAGCUUUAAACCAUGUAAGGAUUCCCCCCUGAAGUCCUUCCCCGUGUCACUCCAGGGAGCUUUCUUGAUUCCCCAUAGCCUGGAGGGCCGCCAGUCGGUAAGUCACACCUGUCCUCUCCCCCUCCCCUUGUAUACCCCCUACAUAUAGCAGAUAAAAGUAAUGGACAGUGAGAAAGAAGGGAAAACCCAUAGUUAAUGUAAUUUUCUUUAUUCCUUUCUUUUAGCUGUUUCAGUUUUACCCAUGUGUCCAAUUUGUCUUUAAAUUUUGUUCCCCAAACAUCACUCCCAUAACGAAGUACGUACGUAGUAUUGGUUUCAGUAGUGAAUCGAAUUUUUUUUUACCAAAGUUUUUUUUUUUUUUAGUAUUUUAGUAAAGAGGUUUCUUAGCAGGUUGUUCUUGCCUUUUCAGUUAAAUCUCUUAUUGCACCAUAAAAAUGUCCUGUAGAAGAAAUCAUUAAUCCUAAAUAACAAUAUCUUUUUACCUGUUCAAGUUUUUGUUUGCCAGUUGUGAUCCUGUAAUUACUAUUAAGUAUGGAGUGUCUUUUCUGGAAUAUCAUGAUUUUGGAUUUAUCCAGGUUAAUUGUAAGUGGCCCUUGUUAGACUGUAUUAGUUAAGAAUAUUCAGACUUUCCUGAAGCGGCUCUGCACUAGGGGAGAGUAGGAGGAGAUUGUCAGCAAAAAGCAGGCAUUUAAUUUCUUCCUUUAGAAGUUUAAGACCUGGGGACAAAGAACUUUCAAUCUUUGUAGCCAAAUCAUUGAUAUACAUGUUGAAUAAAGUUGGACUUAAGCAACAGCCAUGUCGAACUCCUUUUGUCUGGUCAAAAUUAUCUUUUAUUCUGUUGGUACUUUUUACACAGCAUUUAUUGUUUUUUUAUACAUGUCUUUAAUAAUUA